This 1227-nucleotide long non-coding RNA is filed under the name Phocoena sinus (vaquita). Its description in RNAcentral is "lncRNA (ENSPSNG00000014781.1)". The record is from RNAcentral. Lineage: Eukaryota; Metazoa; Chordata; Mammalia; Artiodactyla; Phocoenidae.
AUAAAAUGUUUAAAGCAUGUAUUUAGCCUGUGACCUCAGGGGUCAGUCACACCCUGAGCCUUCUGGUAAACCUGAAGAAUGGUCCUUCUCAAUUUAUCUCCCAGCAAUGACCUUACAUGCUCAUACUGUGAAUUUGGGAGGAAGUGAAAUGGACUUCUCCUCAUGGGCAGUUUUCCCGGUCACCUUGUGAGUAGACACCUGUCAAUAUCCUUUGAAACGUUUUUUUUGUUUUUUUUUUUUUUUUUACAGCACCCUCUUUUCUCUUUCUUUUCUCCCCCCCACCCCCCGUCCCACAGACUUCCCUCCCACCGGGUCCAGGCUCAGUGCCGAGACCUCUGUCCCUGGUGCUGCCUGACAAGUGAACGAUGGUUUCAAGGAGUGUAGCCUUGUUCGAGUCACAACUCGGGGUCUUUCCUACAGUUUCCGGAAGCAGGGUUGUCUGAUAUGCACAUUUCUUACUUUGGUCCUGUUCUGCUUUUGUGUCGCUCACCUUUGACAAAGUGACUGUGCUCAUUUAGGGCUCUGUCCGAAAUGCUUCCACUUUGCCUUUUUCUACAGUUAGGCCAAUUUUGAAAAUGUAUGAAAUUCUAUGCAACAUUUGUGUUGAGUUACCAAUGGAAGCCAAAAGUUUUCUUUCCAGACUGCCAAGAAUUUUACAGGCCAUAAGUGAGAUGGGAAUUCCCUUUAGUUUAAGGUGGUGGGUGGGCAGCGGGGGACACGGAAUGAGACUUGCCUAGACCUUUGUUGUAUCUUGGGGACAUAUUGUUGAUGCUUAAACUUCAAAAUUCUGUGUAUUCGAAUUUGAUAAUGGCGAAUCUACUUCAAAAGGAGAAAAUAAUCCAACUUUGUGGAUACGAAAUGGAAGGUUCGCUGUUUUGAUCUAGUUAUUUCCAGUGGAGCAGUUUAUGAAAUAUGUUCUAUAAGAUGUACAUUUUUUUCAUUGUAACAUAGAAAUUGUAAAUAACUGAUUAAAGUGCUGCAUUUUGAUGAAUUUUUUCUAGCCAUUUUUAAAGAGAAAACUAGGAAUUGAGUAUUUUGUGUACGGUAUGUUUCCGUCCUCCCUCCCCGUCCGCCGUCCCUCCCUAUUUAAUUUUCAUUUGUCAUGAGGUUUUUGGAUUUGCCAGUGAUCUGCCGGAGGUCAUGCCCCACAUCAUCGAGAAUAAAGCUGAUGAUUGUACCAGUCUUAAAUUAUUCAUGAUUCAAUAAAAUCGAUGCUUAUUUAUUCAG